ACUCAGGAUUCUCGCAGCCCGUACAACCUACCCAGAAGGAAAUUUACCCAGAGUGGGCUCAAACGGGUUUCAUCAGUGAUCUCCUUCCAGGGUGGCUGAGUAGGGUUGUUCAGGUUGCACACUGUACAAGGGGCCUCUCUAAGGGUACCAUUUGCAUGGAAGGUAUAUAUUUGUUUAUUCUUUUCAUAUUUUGAUCACAAUCCUGUUGACUCCAAGGAGGAAUCACUGGUGUGUUUGUUAUGAAAAAUGUCUGAUAGCAGUGGAGUGCCUUAAUCUUACAAAAUGAGUAUACUGCGUCACUGGUGUGACAGAUGGAUGGAUGCAUUGGCCAGUGGCCACCCCAUCCCCUGCCUGCCCUCUGGGCUCACAAGGCUGUUCCUCUCCCUGCAGUUCUUCCUGUUCAUCCUGAUCAUCUUCCUGGCAGAGCUCUCAGCAGCCAUCCUGGCCUUCAUCUUCAGGGAAAAUCUCACCCGAGAAUUCUUCACCAAGGAGCUCACCAAGCACUACCAGGGCAAUAACGACACAGACGUCUUCUCCGCCACCUGGAACUCGGUCAUGAUCACAUUUGGUUGCUGCGGGGUCAACGGGCCUGAAGACUUUAAGUUUGCAUCUGUGUUUCGGCUCCUGACCCUGGAUAGUGAAGAGGUGCCGGAGGCCUGCUGCCGGAGGGAACCCCAAAGUCGGGACGGGGUCCUGCUGAGCCGGGAGGAGUGCCUCCUGGGAAGGAGCCUAUUCCUAAACAAGCAGGGCUGUUACACGGUGAUCCUCAACACCUUCGAGACCUACGUCUACUUGGCCGGAGCCCUUGCCAUCGGGGUAUUGGCCAUCGAGCUUUUCGCCAUGAUCUUUGCCAUGUGCCUCUUCCGGGGCAUCCAGUAGAGGGUAUGGCCUGAAGCCUGAAGACUCGCCCCACCCACCACUGCCCAGCACCCAAUGUCCUCCUGUGCCCCUCCCCGCUGUCCUCUUGGCCCCAGGGGAGAA
Molecule: small RNA, 981 nt
Filed under: Pan troglodytes (chimpanzee)
Lineage: Eukaryota; Metazoa; Chordata; Mammalia; Primates; Hominidae
Description: retained intron
Source: RNAcentral